RNAcentral lists this ribosomal RNA (275 nucleotides) under uncultured bacterium. RNAcentral's name for it is "partial 16S ribosomal RNA". It matches the Rfam family "Bacterial small subunit ribosomal RNA", at positions 1217 to 1500 of the family's 1533-position model. The record is from RNAcentral.
CACACGUGUUACAAUGGCAGGUACAGAGGGGUGCUACCGGGUGACCGGAUGCCGAUCUCGAAAACCUGUCCCAGUUCGGACUGGAGUCUGCAACCCGACUCCACGAAGUUGGAUUCGCUAGUAAUCGCGCAUCAGCCAUGGCGCGGUGAAUACGUUCCCGGGCCUUGUACACACCGCCCGUCAAGCCAUGGGAGCCGGGGGCGCCUGAAGUCCGGGACCGCGAGGACCGGCCUAGGGCGAAACUGGUAACUGGGGCUAAGUCGUAACAAGGUAAC